Molecule: unclassified non-coding RNA, 351 nt
Filed under: soil metagenome
Description: partial contains 5.8S ribosomal RNA, internal transcribed spacer 2, and large subunit ribosomal RNA
Rfam family: 5.8S ribosomal RNA (bases 5-119)
Source: RNAcentral
GAUGAGAACGCAGCGAAAUGCGAUAAGUAAUGUGAAUUGCAGAAUUCAGUGAAUCAUCGAAUCUUUGAACGCACAUUGCGCCCGCCAGUAUUCUGGCGGGCAUGCCUGUUCGAGCGUCAUUACAACCCUCAGGCCCCCGGGCCUGGCGUUGGGGAUCGGCGGAGCCCCCCGUGGGCACACGCCGUCCCCCAAAUACAGUGGCGGUCCCGCCGCAGCUUCCAUCGCGUAGUAGCUAACACCUCGCGACUGGAGAGCGGCGCGGCCACGCCGUAAAACACCCAACUCUUCUGAAGUUGACCUCGAAUCAGGUAGGAAUACCCGCUGAACUUAAGCAUAUCAAUAAGCGGAGGA